RNAcentral lists this ribosomal RNA (690 nucleotides) under uncultured Gigaspora. RNAcentral's name for it is "SSU rRNA". It matches the Rfam family "Eukaryotic small subunit ribosomal RNA", at positions 368 to 1065 of the family's 1831-position model. The record is from RNAcentral. Lineage: Eukaryota; Fungi; Glomeromycota; Glomeromycetes; Diversisporales; Gigasporaceae.
AAUUAGGGUUCGAUUCCGGAGAGGGAGCCUGAGAAACGGCUACCACAUCCAAGGAAGGCAGCAGGCGCGCAAAUUACCCAAUCCCGAUACGGGGAGGUAGUGACAAUAAAUAACAAUACAGGGCUCUUAUGGGUCUAGUAAUUGGAAUGAGUACAAUUUAAAUCCCUUAACGAGGAACAAUUGGAGGGCAAGUCUGGUGCCAGCAGCCGCGGUAAUUCCAGCUCCAAUAGCGUAUAUUAAAGUUGUUGCAGUUAAAAAGCUCGUAGUUGAAUUUCGGGGUUCUACUGUUGGUCGGGCAAUUGUCUGUACUGAUGUGUAGAAUUUCUACCUUCUGGAGAACCAUCAUGUUAUUAAUUUAGCGUGGUGGGAAACCAGAACCUUUACCUUGAAAAAAUUAGAGUGUUCAAAGCAGGCUUACGUCUGAAUACAUUAGCAUGGAAUAAUAAAAUAGGACGGUGGUCCUGUUUUGUCGGUUUCUAAAUCACCGUAAUGAUUAAUAGGGAUAGUUGGGGGCAUUAGUAUUCAAUUGUCAGAGGUGAAAUUCUUGGAUUUAUUGAAGACUAACUUCUGCGAAAGCAUUUGCCAAGUAUGUUUUCAUUAAUCAAGAACGAAAGUUAGGGGAUCGAAGACUAUCAGAUACCGUCGUAGUCUUAACCAUAAACUAUGCCGACUAGGGAUCGGACGAUGUUA